UUAAACACUAUUCCACUAGAAUUCUGUCUUGAGUUUUAGUUUUUCUUUGAAAAAAAGCAAUUUCUGAACCCUUUUGAGUGAAAAAAUGGUUUAAUCCCGCAUUAGAAAAGCUCUGGGGUAUCAGUUUGUAUUGAAGUUUCAUUGUUCCAUUCAUUUCUUGCUUGGGUUUCUGAAGCUUUCAAAGAUAUAAAAUAGUUCCUGGUUCACCUGAGUUUGAAUAUGAACUGAUUUGGGUGUGGAAACUAGUUCGAAAUUAAGCCCUGGGGUCUGCUAGUUUGUUGCUCAUUUUUGAGUUGGAUUUUUUCUGCUGAUUUUGCUCAAACCUGGUUGCUGUGUUGUUACUUGCUAGCUACUGAUCCUGCUUGGUUCUGUUUUUUGUUCUUUUUCAGGUACAAGUUCUGAAUCUCUCAUCAUGUAAAACCCAAUUUGAUGAUGAAAUGGAAGAAAUGUCAUGCCAUAAGAUGUGUCUUUUACAUAUGGUUCAUAGUGUAGUGUAGUCAAUUUCCGUUUAAGAAAUAAUUUUUCAUGUUGUAAUUAACUAUGGACUGUUGAACUCGUGAUAUACUUAUAUCUUAUUUAGUAAUUUUAGCUUUAGUGUAGGUUAAUUCUAGCAAUCCAUGUUAGCUAAAUAUAAUAAUUGUUUUAAGAAUUGUCAGAUUGUAUUAUUGUCCAUAGGUGUAAGCUUGCUAUCCUUUUAGUAGUUUAGCUAUGCCAUGAUAAUUGAGCUUUUGUUGUUAAUAGAACCUAAAAAUCAUGAGAGGAUAACUCAUUAAUGGUACUGAUCUCUUUUAAGUGUUUUCAAGGUUUUGUUACCACGUUUGAAAUGUUAGUUUAAGUUUGAAAUCUUAAAUAUUAUAUGAGCAUGAAAAUCACUAUAGGAUUGAUAUGUUUGUUUGUACAAGUACUAAUCAGUUUGUCCAUUUUGCAGAUUAUAAAAAGUGAAAUUUAAAAGGGCUGGCUUGUGAAUCGAGUAGCAGAUACGAGCUAAGUAUACUGUCCUUAUUAGAAGCAGUCCUUGUUUGAGUUUGGGCUCAUCCUCAGGCUCAGGCCUUUUAAUUUCAUGUUCAUGUGUUGGUAUCAAUUUGUGCUUGUAUUAUUAGAUCUUGAUCUGAACCGUUUGAACCAUAAGAACUGGGCCCAAUGAUUGGCCCAGUUACAUAACAAGUGAGCAUAGAGGUCGUUUGUGUAUAUAUAUAUAUAUAUAUAUAUAUAUUGGUUCCAUUUAAUGCUAUUUUAUUGAAUUCAGUUGGUUUUGGGCUUGAAG
Molecule: long non-coding RNA, 1264 nt
Filed under: Nicotiana benthamiana
Lineage: Eukaryota; Viridiplantae; Streptophyta; Magnoliopsida; Solanales; Solanaceae
Description: long non-coding RNA (NBEN_LNC012342)
Source: RNAcentral